This 241-nucleotide long non-coding RNA is filed under the name Lathyrus oleraceus (garden pea). RNAcentral's name for it is "Pisum sativum (pea) long non-coding RNA (PSAT_LNC002374)". The record is from RNAcentral. Lineage: Eukaryota; Viridiplantae; Streptophyta; Magnoliopsida; Fabales; Fabaceae.
AAUUGCAGCAGACUUGUUCUUUGCUGUUACAACUUCAGCAGAAAAAUUCUGCUACAAACAAGGUCUUCAAGUUCCUAAACUCUCUCCAUAUAUAUCUCCAUGUUUAGAGCCUAUAUAUAUUCUGAUUUAGUCUUCAAGACCUCCACAUGGGAGUUAGGAUAUUCACCAGAUAUCCUUGCUGAUCCCAUGACAUAUACUGAAUUAAUUAAUUCAGUUUCCUACACAUGUGCGAUGUCACAGA